CCUAACAAAUUGUUGGCCAUUAAACCUUGCCAUUGACUAAUAACUUUACACGUUGCCUUUUCCUUCCUCUUGCUUCUUCUUCUCUUUCCUCAUCUUGUUCAGAGCAAUUAGAUCCAACUCUGCUCUUACUCGAUGAAAUCAACGAGUAAGCACACCCAGCCUCUCAGUCCUACUGUUGAUCUUGUCCAUGUCCAUGAACGCGAAGUCAAAAGAAAAGCCAGAAGUUGGGACGAGAUACCGAGUUCCUAGAUACCAAACACUUCGAGUUCUUGCAUUUGUUGAGGGUUGUGUCGGUGAUAGCUUCCUUUGAGGGUUGUCGGCGGCGUUCUAACGAUCGCUGGAAGUGGGACCUUCCUUGUUAUUACUACCAGAUCUACUUUUGUGUUCUCCUUUCUUGCUUGACUGCUUCUUCUAGCCCAACAUUUGACUCGGAGCUCUCAUGCAUUCUAUCCGCAUCCCCUUGUUGCUCAUCAAGUUUUGUUUGUUUUAUUCCAAGAGAAUAAAAAAAUAAAUAAUCAAAUCCUAUGCCUGUUUGUGUUGUGUUCUGGCUCUGUUCAAGCUUUUUAUUUUUUGUCCAUGGAGAAUUGCCUACUUCAUCUUUUCUCAAAGUCACGAUGACUGGAAAUCAAGGUUUGAGUUAGACAAGAAAGGGUAAGAGAUUAAAGACUUGAUUGUGGAGAAUGAAGGGGUUGAGGAGAUAUAUGGCGACGUUGUCCCUGACAGGACUAACCAUAAAAGCUUCUAGAGUAGGUAUUUUUAUACGAUGCAUAGACUAAAGUGGACGGAGGAUUCUAGAGCCAUGCUUGUGGAGUGUGCAAUUUCUAGUGACAAGGAGGAGGAUUUGGGUUGGGAUCUUGAUGAUGACGGUGAAAUUAAAGAAGCUGGGAAAAUUCCGUCGAAGUUGCUACAUGUGAAAUUAAAGAAUUAUAGUUCAUGUGUGGCACUUUUUUUUGGGACAAACUUAUAAUAAAAGGAUAACAAAUCUCUCCCGCUCCUCUUUCUCACGGCUUCUAUUUGCUUUCCUUUCAUCCACCAACUUCAAUCUUCAUCAUCCUUCAAGGCUGAUGCUGCACAAGCCUUGUGGGGUACAAGAUGAAGGAGAAAGUUUCGAUAAGAACAAAGUAGAGCAAAAUGGGGACGAGGAAGGCGGCGUACGAGAUAACUGCAGAAGAAAGUUUUGAUUUUUGGAGGGAAGGAGGUAGACGGCCAACAUGUUGAAUUUUUGGAGGGACCAGUAUGCGUGAGGGAGGGCUGUAAUGAAUUCUUGGGUUUAUUUCACCAGCAGUUACAGUUACUCUCAAAAUUCUCAAAUCCAUUGAUCUAAUCUAACAACAAAGAAGCAGCCACGCAGCGCCACUCACUCUGUGCUUGUAAUCAAGACACUGAUGGGAUCCAGAUCCCUCUUCUCAUGUUCAAGGAAAUGAUCCAGAAAGAGCCUGACAAAGUCUUGUCCAGGGUGCAGGAUAUGAUUGCUCUGAAGCAAGGCGAGGAAAGAGAAGAGGAAGGAGAAGGCAACACGUGUAAAAUCAGUCAAAGCCAAUAUUCAACGGUCAAUAGUUAGCUAGGUUAACUGUGGAAUGAAAUUGCCAUCUUUUUUAAAA
Prosopis cineraria is the source of this 1601-nucleotide long non-coding RNA. RefSeq lists it as uncharacterized. The transcript is spliced from 2 exons. Lineage: Eukaryota; Viridiplantae; Streptophyta; Magnoliopsida; Fabales; Fabaceae. The record is from RefSeq and is a predicted model, not a curated record.